UUUUUUCUUUUAAGGGGGAGAGAAAUUAAAUAAGAGGUUCUCACACCUCUGCAAUCUGUUUGUACUUACCGUGUGUCUUAGCACCUGACCAGCCAGCCGGUGGGUCGUAAAAGUGUAUGCAGGUACCAGCGGGACAGGAGAUGGGGGCCCCUGGGGUAUGGCUGGGAUGGAGGCCACCUUCCCGUUGGCCUUUCAGGGAAUCUCACACUUUUCCCUUUUAAAACACAUGGUGUUCUUUUUAAUAACGGCAGCAACUCCGCAUUGGGAAAGGGGGAAAUAAGCUUGUAUAGGCCCCGGCUUUGUGGAAAGGAGGGGAAGAGGGAAGAAAAAAGGAGGGGUGUCUCCUCCAGGCUUAGGGGGCUGCUGUCAGCUGCUGCUCUGUCUAGCUUGGCAUGUGUGUGCCCCAGUCCCCAGUGGCUUUGGCCCAUUGUUUGUGGAAGCCAAGAGGGAGACUGGAGUCCUCUAUCUCUGGUACUCCAGAGUCAGGCUUCUCAGUCCGAGCCCAGAGAACGUCUUCCCUGUUUUAUGGAGGGAAUCAGGGAAGGGGGUGCCAGGUGGUUCUGCUGAGGACUGUACCAGUCGCUCGAAGGAGAAAGCUUGGGCUUGCCCCCCUCCCCCCUCAAGCCACGAAGGGCAGCUGCUAGGCUAGUGUGGUAAAAGGGCAUUACUCCCCAGCCAGGACCCCCCAGAGAGUCCCCUUCCUGGCCAGACAAAUGCUGGGGAGGGACAGAGGGGUGUGAUCAUUGCCCAGGAGUGCAGACAGUGGGGUCCCGGGUCGGGCAGUGCCUCCCACCCUGCUGAGGGGGGCGCCCAGGCAGGAAGCGGUGGGUGGGCCGGGGUAGAGACGCUGGCACGUCCCAGUUCAUGCCGAAGGAAUUCUGAAUUAGCGGGCGGCUGGCUGCCUGGGACCUCCGGGGCGGCCCCCUGGCCCCCGCCGCCUCCGCUCUGGCCUGCUCCUCCUGCUCCUUCGCACGGACGCUGAGACCUCCGCUGAGCCCUGGGACAAGCCCCAAAUGCAACUGCGAUUGCAGGCUUCGCAAGACCCGCCUCCUCCCAAGGCCAAAUUUGCCUGGGAGAAGUCAUUCAGGGCCCAGACUAGAACCAUGUUGGUGCCACCUCAUCCAUCUGGGGCAUGAAGGACCGUCCAGGGCUGCAGUUUAGCUUCUUAAUAGGAACCUGGGGGUGGGUGCAGCCUCUGUUCUCCGAGCCUCUUUGGAAAUCGGUUUUGUUUUUGUUUUUGUUUUUUCCAAUACUCUUUUCCUCUCAUCCCAUCCCGGGACUGUUUUCCUCCCUAAGGGUUGAGAGCCCUGCAGUCUUCCCUAACCUUUUCUUUGCUUCUACCCCAGGGCCUUUGCACAUGGAGUCCCACCUCUCCCCUUGCCCAACUGGGGCUCCAGCCUUACUGCAUUUGGCUCUUGGUAACUGUCCCAGGGCCUCUCUGACACACAGGGUUGUAGCCCCAGCUCCCUCUCUUCUCCUCCCCCCUUUCUCUUUUGCUUCUGAGACUUAAUUUUUUUCUUUUUCUUUUUGGCUUUUUGAGACAGGGUUUCUCUGUACAGCCCUGGCUGCCCUGGCACUCAUUCUGUAGACCAGGCUAGCCUCAAACUCACAAACCUACCUGCCUCUGCCUUUCCAGUGCUGGCACUAAAGAUGUGGGCCACCACAACUAGUAGUUAAGUGUUUUGCUGUGUCUUUAUUCCUAUAGUGACCUCAGUUCCUGGCAUAUUGUAGGCGAUGGAUGGAUGAAUGGAUGGAUGGAUGGAUGGAUGGAUGGAUGGAUGGAUGGAUGGAUGGAUGGAGCAAGCUUGAAUCGUCCUGAGUGAAAAAAGAGACCUCAGAGAACUGAAUGGAGUUAGGUUCCCAGGGCAGCCUGGCCUGCUGGUCUCAUGGGAGCUCCCUGUGAAACUUCCCCCACACCUCCCACCACCCUGCCAUCCUGUGUGGCUGACAAGAAAGGCCAAUGGCCAGAUGGGGACACAGACUCAGGGAAGCUUGGAAUAUGUUCCCCUCCUCAUAUCCUAGGCCUUGUUGUCCCCCUGAGGGCCCAGCCUAUGAGUAGGGCAGCUGUGGGCUGCCCUAAGGUUGGGUAGGCAAGAAGGGGGUGGUCCCUCAGGGUGGGUCACAGGAUUGAGGUAAUUUCCAAAGUGGCCAUCACAGUGGCCCUAGGAAAUGAUUGUGGAGAGUCAGAACUCCUGUUGGGAGUUGUAGAGGGCCUUGCAUGUGGGCUUCUGUGGCUGUCCCUUCUCUUGUGGUCCUUUGCACAGUCCCCUCGUGUGUGCUGGGAUGUGAGGAGGGCACGGGGAAAAUGAAGGCUCAGCCCCUCAGCUUGCCCUUCACGGUUCACCCAACAGGGCUCACCUCUCCUCUGGACAGGCUCUCACUGUAUGCACAGAUUGGCCUCACAUUUGAUUCCCUUCCUUUGGUCUCCUGGGAUGACAAACAUUUACCAGGGUAGGAUUUUACAUUUUAGAUAUGUCCAUUCUCCAGAAACACACUUGUGAGGUUAGGGUAUCAGUGAAAGGACACCACCAGGACAGACAAAGAAUUGGAGAGGAAGGAAAUUGGUAAGCCAGGCCAUGCUUGAUGGCUUAUGUGUGAUCCCAGAACUCUGGACGCUGAGGCAGGAGGAUUCCAAGUUUCAAGACAGUGUGUUCUAGGUAAUGAGACCCUGUC
Molecule: long non-coding RNA, 2673 nt
Filed under: Mus musculus (house mouse)
Lineage: Eukaryota; Metazoa; Chordata; Mammalia; Rodentia; Muridae
Description: long non-coding RNA chr8:70494845-70497518
Source: RNAcentral